This 497-nucleotide ribosomal RNA is filed under the name uncultured bacterium. RNAcentral's name for it is "partial 16S ribosomal RNA". It matches the Rfam family "Bacterial small subunit ribosomal RNA", at positions 28 to 507 of the family's 1533-position model. The record is from RNAcentral.
GAUGAACGCUGGCGGCGUGCCUAAUACAUGCAAGUCGAGCGAACGGACGAGAAGCUUGCUUCUCUGAUGUUAGCGGCGGACGGGUGAGUAACACGUGGAUAACCUACCUAUAAGACUGGGAUAACUUCGGGAAACCGGAGCUAAUACCGGAUAAUAUUUUGAACCGCAUGGUUCAAAAGUAAAAGACGGUCUUGCUGUCACUUAUAGAUAGAUCCGCGCUGCAUUAGCUAGUUGGUAAGGUAACGGCUUACCAAGGCAACGAUGCAUAGCCGACCUGAGAGGCGGAUCGGCCACACUGGAACUGAGACCCGGUCCAGACUCCUACGGGGGGCAGCAGUAGGGAAUCUUCCGCAAUGGGCGAAAGCCUGACGGAGCAACGCCGCGUGAGUGAUGAAGGUCUUCGGAUCGUAAAACUCUGUUAUUAGGGAAGAACAUAUGUGUAAGUAACUGUGCACAUCUUGACGGUACCUAAUCAGAAAGCCACGGCUAACUACGUG